GCCCCGGUAGCCCAAUCGGCAGCAGGCGAUGCUCUCAAACAGCAUACAGUGUGGGUUCGAAUCCCACCCGGGGCA
This 75-nucleotide transfer RNA is filed under the name Streptomyces yaanensis. RNAcentral describes it as "tRNA-Leu". It matches the Rfam family "tRNA". From Rfam's summary of the family: Transfer RNA (tRNA) molecules are approximately 80 nucleotides in length. Their secondary structure includes four short double-helical elements and three loops (D, anti-codon, and T loops). RNAcentral also lists the same sequence under 8 other names. The record is from RNAcentral. Lineage: Bacteria; Bacillati; Actinomycetota; Actinomycetes; Kitasatosporales; Streptomycetaceae.